UUUUGAAUCCAAACCACCAGAAUAAAAUGUACAGGAAAUACUUGAAAUUUGAAAUUUAUGGACCAGAAAUAGUAAAUAAAUUCAAAACUCAACUACUUAUACAAAUAUCUGAUGACCAAAGAAAACGCCCUCAAUUAACAUGUACUAUCUUUCCAGGCCAAAUUAGACAUGUGUUUUUCAAAAAUCACCACACGGAUGCGGAUCUUCUAAAAAUUUCAAAGAAAUAUCUAGAUCCAGGAAUAACAAAUGGAAUAUUCACCCCCAUCGAGAUCGCUCAAAAAUGCUCACAGCUUAUAAGACAGCAUUUUUUUUUCCAAAAUUAAAGAUCAAUUUUGCAACCUAAAAUUACCAGACAUUAUCUCUUUGCCGGUUCAACUGGAGUUUAUUAGAAUAUGCCAUAAUUGUGUAGCAUACUGAAUUAUUAUUAAACAAACAUCUUUGACAUUUUAAUAACCCGUAAAAAACCAAUCAAGUUCUAAUUUCACAAGCAAAACCAGCAAAAUGCCGUGCAGAAAAGAUACGUGUCGCGCGUAUUGGUGGUCCGAUUCCACAACACAUGUUGAACAAAUAGACUAUUCAAUGACGAUUGGCUAUCGUCUUUACAAAAGUGAGUCCAAGCUCCUCCCAUAGAAUAAAUGUUGUGUAGAGUUAAGAUUUUCAAUGUAGAGUUAAGUUUGAAUGUAAUGAAAACUAAUGAAGAAAUACAAUUGAAGUUGUACUCUAGACGAGUGAAGAAGUGUUUCUUCUGGAAGAGAAACUCCCGACCGUUUCAAAUGUGACAUGUGUAUCGCACAUGUUAACAUAUCCCAAAAUUCUCAAGGACCACACUUAUCGACACCCUGUAGAUUUCCAACGCCAUCGUACUUUUGAUGACUUAAAGCCGAAGAGACGAUAGAAUAACAAUAUCAAUACAAACAAACUACUUAGAAAUUGAUAAUCAUAUCGCACUAUCCCAGUGGCUCUACGUUGCAUCGGUUGAUGACUUCGAUGGUGAGCAGUGUUUAACAACUUGUUCAGUUAAACUUUUUCUGCUAAAGGAUGAACACUCCAGACCGUAGUCAGUCCGUCGAUAUUUCGGCUUUAAAAUUUGUAGCAUGUUUAAGUGAGAUGAAAGAACUACCAGAUUUAAAGUAGGACAUUUUAAUUUAUUUUUCUUUAAAGUGUUUUCACGUUUCAACAGAUUUUGUUAUCAAUGCUCAUCCGCGUACCUUUUUACCACAAGCUGGCGACUCAGUAACCCAUAUAACUUACCUUUGUGAUACGUUAGAAAUGUUGUCAAUAGAUAUUUUGCGACAAUAUACAGAUUAUGUUAUAAAUGGUAGAAUCCAAGCAAUUUUACCCCAUUUUUUGAUGGUUAUUUUUUAUAAUCUUCCAGAUUUAUUUAAAGGAGUUUACCAAUUCGAUACCAAAAAUCAACCCACCAAUGUAUAGUGCUUCGAAUUUCAGUCAAACAUUUGAUUUAACUGAAAGUGGUGAUAAGUCUUCGGAAAAUGAACCCAAUUGGGUACAAAGUUCAAUGUCAUCUAGUAUAUAUUUGGAAAACUAUGUUUGUUUCAAUGAAAAAUUUCACUUAUAUCUAUACCAAAAAUGGUAUUCAUUUAUGAUGUACUUCAGCCCGAUAAGUGUUUAUGAUUUUAGUUUUAAAUAUCUUCCACAUUUAUUUCAACUAUUGGGACGAUUGGAGGAAGUAAGCCGUUUACUUCUUUUUUAUAGCCUAAUUGUAGGGCAUGAAAUUAAAUUUCCAAUAGAUAAUGCCCGUUGAUUGGCUUUUUUUUUUUUUAAUUUUCAUGUAUCACCAAAUUUUAUAUCAAAUGGAUAUCCGAAUGUUUUUUUUGUCUCCGGUAAACACGGAAAAGUAUAUCAACUUGCUGUGUAGUGAAAUAGAAUUGCGUACGUUUGAUGACUUAAAGCCUGACACGACAAUAAACGUGUUAGGGUUUAUCGAAGCUGAAAUCAGGGACCGGUACAUGCUGGUGUAAUAGGAAAUAUAAAUCAACCGAAAAGGUAUCUUUCAAACAUUCCGAAUUCCACCAAUCAUGUUUACAUUUCAAGUAGCGCAACACUGCAAUCCGACGUCUUAAAUUGUUUUGAUCAUCAAAACAUAAGUAUCAAAUUACAAGCAACAUCCAUAUGGUUUGUCCAAAAAACGAUGAAACGUGCCGAUAUUCCUGGUAGACACAGAACCGGAACGACAAGUAGGGGAGUGGCUGACGGAACCAAGGUGCAUCGUGAUGGACGACGAGACUUACAUCAAGGCGGACACAAAGCAGUUGCCGGGGCAGGAGUUUUACGUUGCCAUAUCACGGUUGGCCGUUCCUGAGGAGGUAAAGAAGAAGAAUAAGAAGAAGAAGGUGGACAGAUUCACCAAAAAGUUCUUGGUUUGGCAGCCACGACGGGUACCAUCAACGGACAAAUCUACCGGGACGAGUGCCUCCAGAAGCGCCUCCUACCCUUCCUGAUGUCUCACGAAGGCGAGACGCUGUUUUGGCCGGAUUAGGCAUCCUCACACUACGCGCGGCCUGUGUUAGAUUGGUACAGAGACAACAAUGUUGUUUCUGUACCAAAAGACGUCAACCCACCAGACUCGCCGGAACUUCACCCGAUUGAGAAGUUUUGGGGAACCAUGAAGGUGUAAGGUACAAACCUUAACUUUUUCAAUUUCAAUUAGACAUGCAAAUUACGUUCCCACAAAACCGACCAAGUCAUGACCAGACAAAACUAUCCCACGACAAUAAAUUUCCCAACUACCCAACAAUCCAUUCCCACUGUAAAACAACAUUUUCCAGAACCAAUUUCCUAACACCAAAGACAACCAUCAUCAUUUCACACUUGAGAUUUCGAAAGGUUAAUUUAUUGCCUCAGAACGAACAAGUGACUAUGACCAUCCUAACUGCAUACCUAUCAUAUUCCCACCACACAUGAAGAAACCAGAACGGUUGACAAAGAACGAAAACGUAAACGCUGACAUCCACUCGAAGCACGCGACCGACGACAAACAUUCCCACGGAAUAGAAAACUCACCCACGCGACAAUACAAUUCUCCCUUUCGCGCGCAUGAGCUUAAGCCCUCCGAGCGCACGAAAGAAAGAUGCAAAAUAACAACCAAUUAGGAUCGAGACCGAUUACUCUCUCCGAUACAUAUCCCUCUCCAUUCAUUAGAAUGGUGAAGUACUAGAUUAUUUGAACAACACAUUGUAAACAUAAAAACCGUUUGGAAUAAAGAAAUUCACAGUAUAGACACAGUAUAGACACAGUAUAGACACAGUAUAGACACAGUCUAGACACAGUCUAGAGACAGUCUAGAGACAGUCUAGAGAGAGUCUUGACAAAAGUCAAAACGGAGUUUAUGAUAUCAGUGGAUGAUGACAAACCCCUAAAAAGGAGAACUCAGUGAAAAAGUAGUGAAGUUAGAUGUGGCCAAAUGGUGCCACAAAUGGUGAUAAGAAAAUGUCCAAAUGG
Long non-coding RNA from Ochlerotatus camptorhynchus, 3459 nucleotides. RefSeq lists it as uncharacterized. NCBI's taxonomy places the organism in Eukaryota, Metazoa, Arthropoda, Insecta, Diptera, Culicidae. The record is from RefSeq and is a predicted model, not a curated record. The transcript has 2 exons.